GAUGAAGAACGUAGCGAAAUGCGAUAAGUAAUGUGAAUUGCAGAAUUCAGUGAAUCAUCGAGUCUUUGAACGCACAUUGCGCCCCCUGGUAUUCCGGGGGGCAUGCCUGUCCGAGCGUCAUUGCUGCCCUCAAGCACGGCUUGUGUGUUGGGCCGUCGUCCCCCUCCUAGGGGACGGGCCCGAAAGGCAGCGGCGGCACCGCGUCCGGUCCUCGAGGGUAUGGGGCUUCGUCACCCGCUCCGUAGGCCCGGCCGGCGCUUGCCGACGACCAUCAAUCUCUUUCUCCAGGUUGACCUCGGAUCAGGUAGGGAUACCCGCUGAACUUAAGCAUAUCAAUAAGCGGAGGA
Molecule: unclassified non-coding RNA, 347 nt
Filed under: soil metagenome
Description: partial contains 5.8S ribosomal RNA, internal transcribed spacer 2, and large subunit ribosomal RNA
Rfam family: 5.8S ribosomal RNA (bases 1-120)
Source: RNAcentral